GACGGCUCUCACUCGCUCACUGAACGGGCACACUCACAUCUCUCUCCGCCGCACUCACUCACAUCUCACUCUCCCCCGCACAUGUCGCCGCAGCCAUCUCUCCCGGCUACGGCGCUGCGGCGACGCCGCAGCUAUAGAUCACCGUCUUGGCUUGGAUCUGCUGCCUCCCCCCAACUUCCCGCCGCACCCCAUCCCCUCCACCGCGAUAUCUCCGGUGAGCAGCGGGACCGCACAUCUGGCCCGGUGAGCAGCCGGAUCCGGCCGCCGGCCGGGAGGUGCAGAAGGCCUGGCCGUUAUUCUUUGCGCCGGCGAUGUAGCUGGAGAGAGGGUCUUCUCCGGUGAGCAACCGGACCGCACAUCUGCCGCGGUGAGCAGCAGGAUUCGGCCGCUAGUCACGCCGGCCACGUAGCUGUUGGGACGGUCCAACAAUGUCUCCAGGCAGUCCAUCUUCGGCAAGAGCAGAGCCGGGCUGCUGAAGAAGGCGCAGGAGCUCGCCAUGCUCUGCGAGGCGGACCUUGGCGUCCUCAUCUUCGACAGCGCCGGCAAGCAGAUGGACUACUGCAGCCCCUCCACCAUGUCCAAUAGUUCUCCUUCGUCAAUCUUCUCCAACCAAUCUCAUGGCACGUGCAUACAUCUCGAUUCAUCCCGGUUGCAAACUUAUUUUGGAUAUUCUGCAAUGCCCUGUCUAGCUAGGUGCCCCUCUGCGGCUCUAACGUGUAUACUUUUAGAUUGUUCUGUUUUUAGUACAAGAGUACAUGCGUGUGGUGAACUGAUAGAUUCAUUCCGGAAGAUGAACUUAUUAAAGUCACUUGAAAUCCUUACAAAUCAUCUAAUGCCAAACGAUCUGGGGCAGACACAAUUGAUAUGUGUGAAAUAGAAGAUGAGAACGAACUUCAAUUACCUAGAGUAUGGGGAUGCUCUGAUUGUGUCCCGUGAUGAAGUUAGUCAGGCAAUGUUCAUAAUUUAGCUCCAUGAGGCCAUGGAGAAAAGGCUUGUGCCUCGCAAGGUACAGCUUUUGUCUACAUGCUCAACAAAAUAUCGCCUACCAGACUUGCAGUAUAAUUCAGAAGGAUGGUCAAAGGUUACUUUACGUUGUAUUAUUAUUAGUCAGAUAAGUUCAGCUAAAAAAAGUUAGAUAACAAGAACCGAGUUGAAGUUGUAGAUGUAUACGUCCUUGCAAUCAACGACCCUAGGAUUUAAUGGUGUGUAUGAAUCUACACUUUAUUUUGAACACUAACUUGCAAUUCAUGCAAUGAUGAUUAAACAAACUCCAGUCUAGUGGAUUCAUGCGACGAUGACGAAGUAUUUGUAAGACUAACUUGCAGACUUGCAGUGAUGAUUCACUCGCAGUGUUUGAAGUGUUAGCAGAUGAGCCGCUAAAUGGGAAAGCUCUGAUCUUGAAGUAAUUUUGAGUGUGUUAAAACUGAAAGUUAAUUCCUUUGUUUGUUUGAUAAACUUUCUGAUAUGCUUCAUAAGUGGGUUCAUGGAUAUGUAGUUAAAAGUGAGUAACUAUGGUAUUGUAUAUGAUAUUAAAAUAUUCAGUACAGUAGCAAUGUAGAAUUUCUACCAAACUGAUGUUUGAUUUAGUUAUCUUUGUAUCAACAGCCACACAACUGUAUGAAGCCCUUUUUCUUUUGCACUUCCAACUGAUAGGGUGGAGCUAAUGUGAGAGGAGCUGGUCCUUGUGAUAAUCUCUGGUCACGGCUGCAGAAAAGGGCUUAACGGAAUCUACCGAGUGCCUGCUGGUAGCUGGUGCAAACUUACUUGUUUUUGACAUGCCAAACAUGUUGCCUUCUCAGUCGGCUGGAGCUUCAUGUGGGUUAUUCUAUUUGGACUCCUAUUUGCCGUGGUCGGAUCAUAUGCAGUGUACAAAUACAGUCUACAUUCUACAGCGAGAUCAAGCAAAACUGCAACAGUUCUAAAGGCUGUCGAAGAUCACAAGGGCAGCUCGCUAUUGUACUGGACUUCGGUCCAUAAGGGCAACUUGCUGUAGAUUUAUGCUAUACAUGUCACAGAACAGGGAUCAAUAUGAGGCGUCAUUUGACUGAACUUCAGUCAGUACAUGUUACAGAACUUCAGUCAAUAUGGGGCGUCAUUGGAUUGAACCCCAGAAUUGUUUGACCUCUACACAACGACAUUACAAAGAGAAUCCGUGUACAGCAUACCUGGGGCGUGCACUCCUAUCGAUUUGUUUAACCCCAGAUUUGUUUGAGCUCUA
This is a long non-coding RNA of Triticum aestivum (bread wheat), 2218 nucleotides long. RefSeq lists it as uncharacterized. Lineage: Eukaryota; Viridiplantae; Streptophyta; Magnoliopsida; Poales; Poaceae. The transcript is spliced from 3 exons. The record is from RefSeq and is a predicted model, not a curated record.